GACGAACGCUGGCGGCGUGCCUAAUACAUGCAAGUCGAACGAACUCUGGUAAUGAUUGGUGCUUGCAUCAUGAAUUACAUUUGAGUGAGUGGCGAACUGGUGAGUAACACGUGGGAAACCUGCCCAGAAGCGGGGGAUAACACCUGGAAACAGAUGCUAAUACCGCAUAACAACUUGGACCGCAUGGCCCGAGUUUGAAAGAUGGCUUCGGCUAUCACUUUUGGAUGGUCCCGCGGCGUAUUAGCUAGAUGGUGAGGUAACGGCUCACCAUGGCAAUGAUACGUAGCCGACCUGAGAGGGUAAUCGGCCACAUUGGGACUGAGACACGGCCCAAACUCCUACGGGAGGCAGCAGUAGGGAAUCUUCCACAAUGGACGAAAGUCUGAUGGAGCAACGCCGCGUGAGUGAAGAAGGGUUUCGGCUCGUAAAACUCUGUUGUUAAAGAAGAACAUAUCUGAGAGUAACUGUUCAGGUAUUGACGGUAUUUAACCAGAAAGCCACGGCUAACUACGUG
RNAcentral lists this ribosomal RNA (514 nucleotides) under Lactiplantibacillus plantarum. Its description in RNAcentral is "bacterial SSU rRNA". It matches the Rfam family "Bacterial small subunit ribosomal RNA", at positions 28 to 507 of the family's 1533-position model. The record is from RNAcentral. Lineage: Bacteria; Bacillati; Bacillota; Bacilli; Lactobacillales; Lactobacillaceae.